This 1296-nucleotide ribosomal RNA is filed under the name metagenome. RNAcentral's name for it is "bacterial SSU rRNA". It matches the Rfam family "Bacterial small subunit ribosomal RNA", at positions 8 to 1309 of the family's 1533-position model. The record is from RNAcentral.
AGAGUUUGAUCCUGGCUCAGGAUGAACGCUAGCGGCAGGCCUAAUACAUGCAAGUCGAACGGUAAAUAUUUAGCAAUAAAUAUGAGAGUGACGUACGGGUGCGUAACACGUAUGCAACCUACCCUUUACAGGCGGAUAGCUCGGGGAAACUCGAAUUAACCCGCCGUAAUAUAAUUGGAUGGCAUCAUCUGGUUAUUAAAUCUACGGAGGUAAAGGAUGGGCAUGCGUCUGAUUAGUUAGUUGGCGGGGUAACGGCCCACCAAGACGAUGAUCAGUAGGGGAACUGAGAGGUUGAUCCCCCACACUGGCACUGAGAUACGGGCCAGACUCCUACGGGAGGCAGCAGUAGGGAAUAUUGGUCAAUGGAUGGAAGUCUGAACCAGCCAUGCCGCGUGCAGGAAGAAGGCCUUCUGGGUUGUAAACUGCUUUUGCCAGGGGAUAGAAUGACCUUGCGAGGUUAAUUGAAGGUACCUGGUGAAUAAGCCACGGCUAACUACGUGCCAGCAGCCGCGGUAAUACGUAGGUGGCAAGCGUUGUCCGGAUUUAUUGGGUUUAAAGGGUGCGUAGGCGGCUUAUUAAGUCAGUGGUGAAAUACUCUAGCUCAACUAGAGGGGUGCCAUUGAUACUGAUGAGCUUGAGUACAGAUGAGGUAGGCGGAAUUGACGGUGUAGCGGUGAAAUGCUUAGAUAUCGUCAAGAACACCUAUAGCGAAGGCAGCUUACUAGGCUGUAACUGACGCUGAGGCACGAAAGUGUGGGGAUCAAACAGGGUUAGAUACCCUGGUAGUCCACACUGUAAACGUUGAUUACUCGCUGUGUGCGAUAUACAGUACGCGGCCAAGCGAAAGCGAUAAGCAAUCCACCUGGGGAGUACGCCGGCAACGGUGAAACUCAAAGGAAUUGACGGGGGUCCGCACAAGCGUGGAGCAUGUGGUUUAAUUCGAUGAUACGCCAGGAACCUUACCUGGACUAGAAUGCCCUUGACCGAUCCAGAGAUGGAUUUUUCCGCAAGGACAAGGAGCAAGGUGCUGCAUGGCCGUCGUCAGCUCGUGCCGUGAGGUGUUGGGUUAAGUCCCGCAACGAGCGCAACCCCUAUUUUUAGUUGCCAACAGGUUAAGCUGGGGACUCUAAAAAGACUGCCCGCGCAAGCGGAGAGGAAGGAGGGGACGACGUCAGGUCAUCAUGGCCCUUACGUCCAGGGCUACACACGUGCUACAAUGGCGUAUACAGAGUGUUGCAAACCAGCGAUGGUAAGCCAAUCACAAAAAGUACGUCUCAGUUCGGAUUGCAGGCUGCG